GCGGCCGGACGAGUUGGACGAACAAGACCCCUCUCUUGUCAACCACAACAUUUACAAGGCAAGAGAGUGCCAUGUGUGUCGUCCACCUACUUCGGCAAUUCAAAGGGAACUCGUUGGCGAAACCGCUCACCAGGGCAACUAUUGCCAAUGAAAGGGAUUCAAUCAUCAUUGAGAUGAUACACAUGGAAGGCAACACCGCUUC
Triticum dicoccoides is the source of this 202-nucleotide long non-coding RNA. RefSeq lists it as uncharacterized. The transcript is spliced from 3 exons. NCBI's taxonomy places the organism in Eukaryota, Viridiplantae, Streptophyta, Magnoliopsida, Poales, Poaceae. The record is from RefSeq and is a predicted model, not a curated record.